This 117-nucleotide ribosomal RNA is filed under the name Acidobacteriota bacterium. The record is from RNAcentral. Lineage: Bacteria; Pseudomonadati; Acidobacteriota.
CCCGGUGACAAUAGCGAAGGGGCCACACCCGUUCCCAUCCCGAACACGGUAGUUAAGCCCUUCAGCGCCGAUGGUACUGCGUGGGAGACUGCGUGGAAGAGUAGGACAUCGCCGGGG